Betta splendens (Siamese fighting fish) is the source of this 405-nucleotide long non-coding RNA. RefSeq lists it as uncharacterized. The transcript is spliced from 3 exons. The record is from RefSeq and is a predicted model, not a curated record. Lineage: Eukaryota; Metazoa; Chordata; Actinopteri; Anabantiformes; Osphronemidae.
AUGGGCUCUUAGUCAUCUGAUGCUGCAUCCGGUGUAGUUUAUUCGAUUAUAUUUUUACGGAGCCAGGGGGGCGCAGCGUGUUUACGUCACACGUGGAAACGGUAACCAGGCAGCUGACUCCAGAGUUGAACGUCACUCGAUUUCUCCCCGUUCAGUUCAGAGGCCUCUCCACUUUCUCGCUGCUGAUGCCGCAUGAUAUCCUUGGCGAUUCGGAGGCUGGCAGCCUGUCCGCCGGCCAAGUUUACCGCAUGAGGUCCGAUCUGCCGAGCUGACCUGAAGUGGGAAUUCCUCCAUGACGCCAGAAAGCAGCGAGUCCUGCUUGACAUCGAGCUUGCAGCCAGUGGCGAGCCAGAUGACGUCUCCGGUCCAACGGGCCCCCAUGCUGAGGGACAGACUCCAGGCCUG